Molecule: small nucleolar RNA, 68 nt
Organism: Acipenser ruthenus (sterlet)
Lineage: Eukaryota; Metazoa; Chordata; Actinopteri; Acipenseriformes; Acipenseridae
Product: small nucleolar RNA SNORD58
Exons: 1
Source: RefSeq, a predicted model, not a curated record
UUGCAGUGAUGACUUUUCUUAGGAUACCUUUGGAAUUUCCAUGAAAAAGAUUAAGAAUUCUGAGCAGC